Molecule: long non-coding RNA, 267 nt
Filed under: Elaeis guineensis (African oil palm)
Lineage: Eukaryota; Viridiplantae; Streptophyta; Magnoliopsida; Arecales; Arecaceae
Description: long non-coding RNA (EGUI_LNC012306)
Source: RNAcentral
UUGAACGUUUGAUCCAAGAGGGGAGGCUGGAUCGAUUCAUCUGACGACAAGGUUCUCCAUGUCGAUAUCCUCUAAGGGCCAGGCAACUGUAGCGGAGACGUCCUGUGCUUCAGCAGCAAUAGCACCAAUCCUUUCAGACUCAACCUCAACCGGCACCAAUGCAAUCGUAGGCAAAGGGGCAGGCGAUAGUAGAAGAUUGACCUCUACGGGGUGAAAUUCAUAUGAUAACCGAGGGGUCAUCUAGAUCGGAGAAGCCACAUGCGGUGA